CGGGACGAACGCUGGCGGUGUGCUUAACACAUGCAAGUCGAGCGGAAAGGCCUUUCGGGGUACUCGAGCGGCGAACGGGUGAGUAACACGUGAGUAAUCUGCCCAUCGCUUCAGGAUAGCCAUCGGAAACGGUGAUUAAUACUGGAUAAUGACAUUCCUUCGCAUGUUGGGGUGUGGAAAGUUUUUUCGGCGGUGGAUGUGCUCGCGGCCUAUCAGCUUGUUGGUGGGUAAUGG
This 234-nucleotide ribosomal RNA is filed under the name uncultured soil bacterium. RNAcentral describes it as "partial 16S ribosomal RNA". It matches the Rfam family "Bacterial small subunit ribosomal RNA", at positions 25 to 263 of the family's 1533-position model. The record is from RNAcentral.